Molecule: long non-coding RNA, 5811 nt
Filed under: Homo sapiens (human)
Lineage: Eukaryota; Metazoa; Chordata; Mammalia; Primates; Hominidae
Description: HSALNT0282181
Source: RNAcentral
UGGCUUUUUACCAUGAAUAUAGUAGUUAUUAUUGAAGCACACUUUCCUCUAGAACAUUGCUACACAAACAGUGGUACAGGGGCCAGGUACAUUAGUAUCAUAUGUGAUCUUCUUAAAAAUGGAAAAUAUUGGUCCUGACCCCAGAUUUAAAAAGUUACAGCCUUCAUUUUAACAAGAUCUCCACUGCAGAUUUAGGUGCACAUGAACAUUUGAGAAGCACUGCCCUAGGUGUCUUACCCCUAGAGAACAGGUGCAUACACUGGUCAUUCUCUGAUUUCUCUCAGUGCUUAAUACACUUCUUGUGCCAUAAGGUUCUAAUGAUUUGUUAACUAAAUUUCUUAAAACAAAUUCUAAAAACUGAAAAUGCACUCAUACUUUAUUUUUAAUUUUUUCUUGAGAUAAAAUUUACAUUACAUAAAAUUCACAAUUUUAACCAUUUUAAAGUGUACAAUUCAGUGGGAUUUAGUAUAUUUACAAUACUGUAAAACUAACAUCACUAUUUAAUCUAUUUAAUUCCAGAAGAUUUCCUUCAUCCUAAAAAGAAAUUCUAUACCUUCCAGUAUCCCUUCCCCCCACCUCUUGGUAAGAACUACCUUGCUUUCUGUCUCUGUGGAUUUGCCUCUUCUGUACGUUUCAUAUGAAUGGAAUGAUACAUUGAUACAUUAUGUGGCCUUCCUUUUGUGGCUUCUUUCACUUAGCAAAAUGUUUUCAAGGUUCAUCUAUAAAACUUUAUUCCUUUUUAUGGCUAAAUAAUAUUCCAUUGCAUAAAUAUACCACAUUUUAUUUAUCCAUUCAUCAGUUGGCAGGCAUUUGGGUUGUUUUUACUUUUCGGCUAUUAUGAAUAUUGAUAUUCAUACGAAGAUUUGUGUACAAAUUUUUAUGAGAACAUGGUUUUUAAUUUUGGAGGAGUAUAUUCGCAGGAGUGGAACUACUAGGUCCUAUAGUAACUAUAUAUUUAACUUUGAGGAACUGCAAAACUAUUUUCAAUAGCAGCUGCACCAUUUUACAUUCCCACUAGCAAUGUACAGGAACUAAAAUUGUUUAUACCCUUGCCAACUCUUGUUAUUUUUCAUUUUAAAAAAAUUAUACCCAUUCUAGUGAGCAUGAAGUGCUACCUCAUUAUUGGUUUUAUUUUUAGUAGAGAUGGAGUAUCACUAUGUUACCCAGGCUGGUCUCCAACUCCUGGGCUCAAGUAACCCUCCUGCCUUGGCCUCCCAAAGCACUGGAAUUAUAGGGGUGAGCCACCACACCUGGCCCAUUGUAGUUUUGCUUUGCAUUUCCCUAAUGACUAAUGAUGCUGAGCAUAUCUCCAGGUUCUUACUGGCCAUACCUUCUUUGGAGAAAUGUUUAUUAAAAAGCAUUGCCCAUUCUUAACUGUUACUCGUCUAUCGUUGAGUUGUAGGAGGUCUUUAUAUAUUCGGAAUACUAGACGUUUAGCAGACAUAUGAUUUGCAAAUAUUCUCUCCCAUUGUGUGGGCUGUCUUUUCACUCAAUUAAUAGUUUCUUUUGAUACACAACUUUUAAAUUUUUGAUGAAAUAAAAAUUAUCCAUUUUUUUAUUUUGAUAUAUAUGGUUUUGGUGUCAUAUUUAGGUAACCACUGCUUAGUCCAAGUUCACAAAGAUAUACAUCUAUGUUUCCUUCUCAGAAUUUGGUAGUUUUAGUGCUACAUUUAGGUCCCUGAUUCUUUUUGGGUUAAUUUUUGUAUAUGGUGUAAUAUAGGGGUUCAGCUUCAUUAUUUUGCACCUGGAUAUCCAGUUGUCCUAGCACCAUUUGUUGAAAAAACUAUUCUUUCCCUAUUAAAUGGUCUUGACACCAUUGCAGAAAUAAGUUGACUGUAGAUGGACGGACUCAUUUCUGGAUUCUCACUUCUAUUGCAUUGAGAUUACAUAGAUAGAUAGGUAGAUAGACAGACAGAUGAUAGAUAGAUAGAUAGAUAGAUAGAUAGAUAGAUAGAUAGAUGAUAGAUAGAUAGAUAAAUAGACAGGUAGACAUAGAGAUAUCUUAUGCCAAUACCACACUGUUUGAAUACCAUUGUUUUGAAAUUGAAAAGUGUGAAUGCUCUGACUUUGUCCUUCUUUUUAAAGAGUUUUGGCCAUUUUUGGUCCCUUGCAAUUCCAAAUGAGUUUUAAUAUCAGCUUGUCAUAUAAGAUCAUGUCAUCUGCAAAUAGGGAUAGUUUUAUUUCUUCCUUUCCUGUGUGGAUGCAUUUUGUUUCUUUUUUCUUUUCUUUUUCCCCCUAAUUCCCUGGGUAAAAUUUCAAAUGCAAAGUUGAAAGGAAGUGACAACAAUGGACAUCCUUGCCUUUUUCCUGAUUUUAGAAGAAAAGCUUUCAGACUUUCAACAUUAAGUAUGAUGUUAGGUGUGGGUUUCUUAUAGAAACCCUUUAUUAAAUUGAGAAUGUCUUCCUUAUUCCCAGUUUGCUAAGUGUUUUUAUCAUGAAAGCAUAUUGGAUUUUGUCAAAUGCUUUCUCUUUGUCUAUUGAAGUGAUCACAUGUAUUGUUUCUUUCAUUUUAUUAAUAUGGUGUAUUACAUUGAUUAAUUUUUAAAUGUUGAACUACCCUUGCAUUCCUGGGAUAAAUUUCACUUGGUAAUGGCGUAUAAUCCUUCCAAUGUUCUGCUGUAGUCGGUUUAUUAGUACUUUGUUGAAGAUUUUUGCAUGUAUAUACAUUAGGGAUAUUAGGCUGUAGUGUUUUUCUUAAAAAAAAGCUACAUGUUUUCGGCAUUGUAUUGAAGUAGUAUUAGCCUCAUGAUAUGAGUUAAAAAUCAUUCCUUCCUCUUCGUUUUUUUUUUUUUUUUUUUUGGAAGAGUGAGAAGGAUUAGUCUUAACCCUCCUUUUAAUAUUUGGUAAAAUUCACCAGUGAAGCCAUUUUGCUCCUGAACUUUUCUUUUGGGAAGUUUUACGAUUAUUAAUCCAACUUCCUUAUUUGUUAUAUGUCUAUUCAGAUUUUCUAUUUCUUCUGAGUCAGUUUCAGUAGUUUGUGCCUUUCUAGGAAUUUGUCUGUAUUAUCUAAGUUAUGUAACUUUUUGCCAUACAGUUGUUCAUAGCAUCCUCUUAUAAUUAUUUUCACCUCUGUAAGGUCAGUAAAAAUGUCCUUAAUUUCAUUCCUGACUUCUUGCUACUUUCAAAAUUAUCUUUGUCUUUUUCUUUCAAUAGUUUGAUUAUGAUUUGUCUAGGGGUAAAUCUCUUUGAGUUUAUCCUGUUGGGUUUUGUUAAAUUUCUUGGGUGUGUAGAUUAAUGUGUUUCAACAAAUUUGGGGAGUUUUGAGCCAUUAUUUAUUUAAAUAUUCUUCUGCCUUUUUUCUCUUCCCUCUCCUUCUAGGACUCCUCUUAUGUGUAUGUUGGUAUAUAUGAUGAUGUCUCACAGAUCUCUCAUGCUGUAUUCAUUUUUUUCUUUAUUCUCUUUCUGCUCCUCAGAUUGGAUAAUCUUAAUUGAUUUAUCUUCAAAUUAACUGAUAUUUUCUUCUGCCUGCCCAAUCUUCAGUUGAUGAAUUUUUCAUUUUAGUUAUUGUACAUUUCAACUCUUAAAUUUCUAUUUGGUAUCUUUUAAUAAUUUCUAUCCCCUUAUUUCUAGUCUCUAUUUUAUGAGAUGUUUUCGUGCUUUUCUUUUUCUAAGCAGGAUUUCCUGUAGCUCUUUGAACAUAUUUAAAAUAGCUACUUUAAAGUCUUUGUCUUACAAGUCUAAUGUCUGGGCUUUCUUAGGAGCCAGUUAUAUUAAUUGCUAUUUUUUCUGUGUAUGGGCCAUAUUUUCCUGUUUCUUUUCGUGCCCCCAAAUUUUUGUUGCAAAUUUGACAAGUUGGAUAUUACAGCAUGGAAACUCUGGAAAUCAGAUUCUUCCCCUCUUCGGAGUUUGCUUUUUCUGCUUGUUGUAGUUGUUGUUUAUAUUUUAGUGAUUUUUUAAAACUAGUUUUAAAAAAUUAAGCUAAUUUACAAAACUAGUUUUAAAAAAUCACUAAAAUUAAUUCUGUAUUAUUUGUCAUGUGUGCCCCCUGAAGUCUCUGUUCCAUUAGCUUAGUCAUCAGCUAAAGAUUUAACAAAGAUUUCUAUAAAUAUCCUGAACAAAAAAAUUUCCCAAUCUUUGCAGAAGUGUCUGUUUUGAUGCAUGACUUCAAUAUUCAGCCUGGCAAUUUACAACUCAGCUAUAGCUUUCACUUUCUGAUUGCACAGAGCCUGAGGAUCAGCCAGAGGGGAAAAAAUAUUUGCCUGUAAAUGUUUUUGAGCAACGGUUUCCAAGUAGUGGCUUUAGUCCUGGGUGACUUCUGACUUAGGUAAGAUAAAACAAAUCUUUUGAGCCAACCUUCCAAGGAACCACCAGGCAGACCAAGGACGAUCUUUGCAAAAGAGGUCUAUUCUGCUUCUUCAGUGCUGGAACUGGCAAUGCAGGCUUCUAUUGUCAAGGCUACUGCUGAGCUGAGGAAAAAAGGAUAGAACUAGUGUAAGUUAAAACACCACAAAGCUCACUAUAAUUAUAAAGAUUCAGCAGUUUUUCUUGAAUAAAUGCUCCGUGGGUUGUUGCAAGCUUUUGUUAGUUUUCAGCAUUCCAAAAAUAUUGAUUCUGACAGGUUUUUUUCCCCAUUUUUUAGUUGAUUUUAAUGAGGGAUAGACUUUUAGAGUUGCUUACCCUGCCUCUUGUGCUGACGUCAUUCCUCUGCACACAUACUUUUAAUCAGAAUGAGUCAGGUACAUAAAGGAGCAAAUGCAUUAUAGGUCAACAGGUUGCUUUCCAAAUUGUCUCUUCAAAUUCUCUUUCUUUAUGAGAAAAUAUUUUGCUGAGACUUGCUUCUUAAGAAAAUGACCUGUGAUUUAUAUCGUGAUUCAAAUUUUAUGUUGCAAAUCUUCAUAUGAGCAAACGCAUCUCUGAAGAGAUCCAGUGAGAGAGUUGCUCAAUCAUCAAGAUGAAACGAGAGCGCCAGGCCAGGAUGAAAAUAAACUAGUGAUGAACAAGAAGAAAGAUAGAUGAUAUUUAUUGAGACUAUCCAGAGCUGAAGAUACAGCAGUCAUCAAAGCAUAGAAAUUCUUCACUCUCAAGGACCUUACAUUCUAGUAAAGCCAACAAGAAUUGCUUAACGGGUCGAAUGUGGGAGAAAGAAAAUGAAGAAUUUUCUCACAGACUAGCUUCUGGUAAUGAAGCCGAGCACCACUUCAUGAGCUGGGCACCAUAAGAUAGGUUCAUAUCCUGAUAUGAACUCUGGCUCUGCAUCUUCAUGUCAACAUAUCUGAUCCAAAUCUUUUGUGAGUUAUAUGAGUAGUUAUUAUAUCAAGAAUUCUUCCUGUAAAGAAAUAAUCCAUCCUCCACUCAGUCCACCUCUUAUAUCACACUUCAGGUCCUACAAAAUGUUCGGCAUUUUCCCAACUACAUCCACCUCCUUGGCACAUUAAAAUGAGUGUUGUACCAAAUGCCCAUCAAUGAUAGACUGGAUAAAGAAAAUGUGGCACAUAUACACCAUGGAAUAUUAUGCAGCCAUAAGAAAGAAUGAGUUCAUGUCCUUUGCAGGGACAUGGAUGAAGCUGGAAGCCAUCAUUCUCAGCAAACUAACACAGGAAUAGAAAACCAAACACCGCAUGUUCUCACUCAAAAGUGGGUGUUGAACAAUGAGAACACAGGGAGCGGAACAUCACACACCAGGGCCUGUAGGGGGUGGGGGGCAAGGAAAGGGAGAGCAUUAGGACAAACACCUAAUGCAUGCGGGGCUUAAGACCUAGAUGAUGGGUUGAUGGAUGCAGCAAACCACCAUGGCACAUGUAUACCUAAGUAACAAACCUGCACAUUCUGCCCAUGUAUCCCAGAACUUAAAAUAAAAAAAAAAUUAAAAAG